RNAcentral lists this long non-coding RNA (480 nucleotides) under Homo sapiens (human). RNAcentral describes it as "non-protein coding lnc-TRIAP1-1:1". The record is from RNAcentral. Lineage: Eukaryota; Metazoa; Chordata; Mammalia; Primates; Hominidae.
CUGGGAUUACAGGAGUGAGCCAUUAUGCCCGGCCAAGUCAGGGCUUUUAUAGCUAAGAUGCCUACUACCUAAAACAUUUAAGCAACUUGGCCUCCUGCAAAGAAGGAUGGUGAGAAGAAUGGCCAUUAUGCCAUCAACUAGGUGGUGACCCAAGAGUACACCAUUAAUAUUCACAAGUGUAUCCAUGGAGUGGGCUUCAAGAAGUGUGCCCCUCAGGCUCUUAAAGAGACCGGAAAUUUGCAAUGAAGGAGAUAGAAAACUCCAGAUAUGUGUAUUGAUACCAGGCUCAACAAAGCUGUCUGGGCCAAAGUAGUAAGGAAUGUCCAUACUGUGUCCAUGUGCAGUGGAUGGUCCAGAAAACAUAAUGAGGUUAGAAAUUCACCAAAUAAGCUCUAUACUUUGGUUAUAUACUUGUUACCACUUUCACAAAUCUACAGUCAGUGUGGAUGGGAACUAACUGCUGAUCAUCAAAUACAUCAA